UACGUAGGGUGCAAGCGUUGUCCGGAAUUAUUGGGCGUAAAGAGCUCGUAGGCGGUUUGUCGCGUCUGCUGUGAAAACUCGGGGCUUAGCCCCGGGCCUGCAGUGGGUACGGGCAGACUAGAGUGCGGUAGGGGAGACUGGAAUUCCUGGUGUAGCGGUGAAAUGCGCAGAUAUCAGGAGGAACACCGAUGGCGAAGGCAGGUCUCUGGGCCACUACUGACGCUGAGAAGCGAAAGCAUGGGGAGCGAACAGG
This 253-nucleotide ribosomal RNA is filed under the name uncultured bacterium. RNAcentral describes it as "partial 16S ribosomal RNA". It matches the Rfam family "Bacterial small subunit ribosomal RNA", at positions 524 to 776 of the family's 1533-position model. The record is from RNAcentral.